RNAcentral lists this ribosomal RNA (397 nucleotides) under uncultured bacterium. Its description in RNAcentral is "partial 16S ribosomal RNA". It matches the Rfam family "Bacterial small subunit ribosomal RNA", at positions 523 to 918 of the family's 1533-position model. The record is from RNAcentral.
AUACGUAGGGGGCGAGCGUUGUCAGGAAUGAUUGGGCGUAAAGGGCGCGUAGGCGGCCCGGUAAGUCUGGAGUGAAAGUCCUGUUUUUAAGAUGGGAAUUGCUUUGGAUACUGUCGGGCUUGAGUGCAGGAGAGGUAAGUGGAAUUCCCAGUGUAGCGGUGAAAUGCGUAGAGAUUGGGAGGAACACCAGUGGCGAAGGCGACUUACUGGACUGUAACUGACGCUGAGGCGCGAAAGUGUGGGGAGCAAACAGGAUUAGAUACCCUGGUAGUCCACACUGUAAACGAUGAAUGCUAGGUGUAGGGGGUAUCGACCCCUUCUGUGCCGCAGUCAACACAAUAAGCAGGCCGCCUGGGGAGUACGGCCGCAAGGUUGAAACUCAAAUGAAUUGACGGGG